This 305-nucleotide ribosomal RNA is filed under the name uncultured bacterium. Its description in RNAcentral is "bacterial SSU rRNA". It matches the Rfam family "Bacterial small subunit ribosomal RNA", at positions 333 to 653 of the family's 1533-position model. The record is from RNAcentral.
UUGUUCCUACGGGGGGCAGCAGUGAGGAAUAUUGGUCAAUGGGCGGGAGCCUGAACCAGCCAAGUCGCGUGAGCGAAGAAGGUCUUCGGAUCGUAAAGCUCUGUCCUUGAGGAAGAAGGAAGUGACGGUACUCAAGGAGGAAGCCCCGGCUAACUACGUGCCAGCAGCCGCGGUAAUACGUAGGGGGCAAGCGUUAUCCGGAAUUAUUGGGCGUAAAGAGUACGUAGGUGGUUUUGUAAGCGCGGGGUGAAAGGCAGUGGCUUAACCAUUGUAAGCCUUGCGAACUGCAAGACUUGAGUGCAGGA